This 61-nucleotide transfer RNA is filed under the name Actinomycetes bacterium. RNAcentral's name for it is "Actinobacteria bacterium tRNA-Met". It matches the Rfam family "tRNA", at positions 7 to 64 of the family's 71-position model. Rfam says of the family: Transfer RNA (tRNA) molecules are approximately 80 nucleotides in length. Their secondary structure includes four short double-helical elements and three loops (D, anti-codon, and T loops). Further hydrogen bonds mediate the characteristic L-shaped molecular structure. tRNAs have two regions of fundamental functional importance: the anti-codon, which is responsible for specific mRNA codon recognition, and the 3' end, to which the tRNAs corresponding amino acid is attached (by aminoacyl-tRNA synthetases). tRNAs cope with the degeneracy of the genetic code in two manners: having more than one tRNA (with a specific anti-codon) for a particular amino acid; and 'wobble' base-pairing, i.e. permitting non-standard base-pairing at the 3rd anti-codon position. The record is from RNAcentral. Lineage: Bacteria; Bacillati; Actinomycetota; Actinomycetes.
GUGGAGCAGUCUGGUAGCUCGUCGGGCUCAUAACCCGAAGGUCGCGGGUUCAAAUCCCGCC